GAUGAACGCUGGCGGCGUGCCUAAUACAUGCAAGUCGAGCGAACAGACGAGGAGCUUGCUCCUCUGACGUUAGCGGCGGACGGGUGAGUAACACGUGGAUAACCUACCUAUAAGACUGGGAUAACUUCGGGAAACCGGAGCUAAUACCGGAUAAUAUAUUGAACCGCAUGGUUCAUUAUUGAAAGACGGUUUUGCUGUCACUUAUAGAUGGAUCCGCGCCGCAUUAGCUAGUUGGUAAGGUAACGGCUUACCAAGGCAACGAUGCGUAGCCGACCUGAGAGGGUGAUCGGCCACACUGGAACUGAGACACGGUCCAGACUCCUACGGGAGGCAGCAGUAGGGAAUCUUCCGCAAUGGGCGAAAGCCUGACGGAGCAACGCCGCGUGAGUGAUGAAGGUCUUCGGAUCGUAAAACUCUGUUAUUAGGGAAGAACAAAUGUGUAAGUAACUAUGCACGUCGUGACGGUACCUAAUCAGAAAGCCACGGCUAACUACGUG
RNAcentral lists this ribosomal RNA (497 nucleotides) under uncultured bacterium. RNAcentral describes it as "partial 16S ribosomal RNA". It matches the Rfam family "Bacterial small subunit ribosomal RNA", at positions 28 to 507 of the family's 1533-position model. The record is from RNAcentral.